RNAcentral lists this ribosomal RNA (253 nucleotides) under uncultured bacterium. Its description in RNAcentral is "partial 16S ribosomal RNA". It matches the Rfam family "Bacterial small subunit ribosomal RNA", at positions 524 to 776 of the family's 1533-position model. The record is from RNAcentral.
UACGUAGGGUGCGAGCGUUGUCCGGAAUUAUUGGGCGUAAAGGGCUCGUAGGCGGUUUGUCGCGUCGGGAGUGAAAACAUCGGGCUUAACUCGAUGCUUGCUUUCGAUACGGGCAGACUUGAGGUAUGCAGGGGAGAAUGGAAUUCCUGGUGUAGCGGUGGAAUGCGCAGAUAUCAGGAGGAACACCAACGGCGAAGGCAGCUCGCUGGGACGGUACUGACACUGAGGCGCGAAAGCGUGGGGAGCGAACAGG